CAUCAGCUAAAGUCAAAAUUUUUCAUCAACGACAUCCAUCAAAACCAAGAUGAAAAUCUCUCUUAUAAAAGAGACAAGAUUGAGGCAAGAUAACAUUCAAUUUCCUAUCCUUGUUUGUAACUUCUUUGUAUUUGUGAUGCUAAUUAGAUGGAGAGCCAACAACCAGCGGAUUCAACUCAAGAACCUUCGUUUGUUGACCUGCCGGACGAGACAUUACGAUUGUCACAACCUUCAAG
RNAcentral lists this long non-coding RNA (236 nucleotides) under Physcomitrium patens. RNAcentral describes it as "long non-coding RNA (PPAT_LNC002525)". The record is from RNAcentral. Lineage: Eukaryota; Viridiplantae; Streptophyta; Bryopsida; Funariales; Funariaceae.